CCCAUCAUAUACUAUCGUCCAUAACCCUAACCUAGUCGAUUCAUUACCAGCAACAGUAGCCCCAUCCUCCUCGUUGGUCGUCGUCGCCGCCUCACAGCCUCGCCCCUGACCCCGCCCGGCGCCAGAUGCAUACGACCAGGAGGUCAGCGCCCCCGCCUAGCACUAGCCGCAUCCAGCCUGGUGGUUAGCACCUCACCUCACUCUAGCCUCCAGCCUGCACCUACAAGGGCCCCACAGGCAGCGCCCCUGCCUGGUAGCCAGCCACAGUCGGCUAGGCGGUCAACGCCCUUGCCCGCCGCCCAUGCCACACACCGGCAUCCGGCCAGCCACUGCUUCACUGUGCUCCAGUAGAUGGUGUGACGCCCCCAUCCCUCGCUCUCGCUCUUCCUGGCUCUGAUCUGAUCCACCUUCUGCGUUAGGCUCGAUUGCUUACCGGCAAUGGUGCAGUCCAUCGUCUCCAUCGACAAGAUUUGUGCCAUGCUUGAGUGUUAUCCUUAUACCGGUACUCCACAUGAAGGUGAACAUCGUGCUGCUAUGUAAACCUUGGUUAAAAAUUAUCCAAUAUUUUUAUAAAUUGAAAUAAUAUUAACUGUGCAGUCUUAGUAGGGGCUUCUAAACAUAAAGCAUUAAUAAUAUGUAGAAUCACAUAUGACUGAACAAGCGAUCUGAGGUGCUGAUCACAAUAAUAGGGUUUAGAUUGUAAGUGGUUUCCCAUGCCUAACUUGUUUACUACAAUUAUUAUAAUACCAUCUACUUUUCUCUUGCUAGCUGGCUAUAUACAAGCCUGCAACACAUUCUUAUGACACUAGCAGAGUAGCAGGUCAUUAAAUUAGAUAUCUAUACUAGAGUCGAAAAUCCAUUCAAAUUUUAAAUUAUAUACUUUUAUGUAUGGAUGGUGUUUAGAGUGCAAACAUGCAUGUUUAUGUUCCACAGAAUCAUUUUACCUGACAUAGCAUGUUGAAAUUCCUAUACUUUCAUGUUGCAGUAAUCUAUUAAGGCAUUGAUUUCCUUCAGUUGUGUGUUUCCAUUCUCUGCCACUAGUUUUAGAGAAGUACACUAAUAUGUUUAAAGUUCUAAUGGUUACCUAGACUAGGCCAAGCAGAGUAUACAUAUUGUAGUUCUACUGCAUUGAAUAGCAAAUUCUUGUAUUUGAUGACAUAUUUUCUUUCUUGUUUCCAUCUAUAACAUAUUUAUGAUUCAUUCUCAUUUUCUUUUGCAGGUUCAUGGAGCAUGAUUACCACAUUGGCUAGUGGCACAACAUGCCUACGUAUCUAAUAUUUAAUGGUGCAAUUACUAUGCUCGUGUUCUCUCAUUGCUAUGUUUGUCAUCAUCUGUAGGAGGUUGUCUUAGGUCACUGGAAUCAACAUGGGAAACCUGUUGUGCAGAAUGUUUUGUAGUAUGUUUUUCAUAAGGUUCCUCUUCAUACUACAUGCUUUUCUUUCUGAUUUCAAAAAUGCAUUACACAAAUAAAAUUACCAUUUAUAUGUCUGUAUCUAAUAUUUAAGGCAUAAGAAAAAUUAGCAUAGGCAAAGAAAUGGGUCAAACCUCAUGUUGAGACUACUAAGAUGGUAAUACCCAUUUGUUCAUGUAGUUCAAUUUAUUAUGUUUUAUCUUGGGCUUAUAGUUGGCUAACAUUAUUACUUUCUAUGAUUGAAGAAGUGGAUUCUUGUUAAGCAGAAAUUGGUUGUCCUCAAGAAAAUGUAGAAUCUCAUGUACAAAAGGUAUCAACAAGAUGUUAAUAAAUUGAACCUCAUAUUGAGACUGCUAAGAUGGUAAUGUCCAUUUGUUCAUGUACUUUAAUAUCUUUUGUUUUAUUUUGGGCUUAUAGUUGGUUGACACUGUUACUUAUGAUUGAAGAAAUGGAUUUCUAUUAAGGAGAAAUUGGUUGUCCUCAAGGAAAAUGCAGGACCUUACGUACAAAUUGGUUGUCUUCAAAAUGUUGGUCUUGUAGCUGCAAGCCUGCAACAAAGAGAAUAAACAAUUGUGGUGAUGCUACACAUGUAGAAGUAGCAAUGUUGGUCUUGUAACUCCCAAGAUUUGGUUAUUGAUGAAUGAUAUCUAUGAUAAUAUAUUGCUAAGUGUAUGUGAUGAUCAUUUAUUGUUGUUUAA
Long non-coding RNA from Zea mays, 2109 nucleotides. RefSeq lists it as uncharacterized. The record is from RefSeq and is a predicted model, not a curated record. The transcript is spliced from 3 exons. Lineage: Eukaryota; Viridiplantae; Streptophyta; Magnoliopsida; Poales; Poaceae.